GAUGAACGCUGGCGGCGUGCCUAAUACAUGCAAGUCGAGCGAACAGACGAGGAGCUUGCUCCUCUGACGUUAGCGGCGGACGGGUGAGUAACACGUGGAUAACCUACCUAUAAGACUGGGAUAACUUCGGGAAACCGGAGCUAAUACCGGAUAAUAUAUUGAACCGCAUGGUUCAAUAGUGAAAGACGGUUUUGCUGUCACUUAUAGAUGGAUCCGCGCCGCAUUAGCUAGUUGGUAAGGUAACGGCUUACCAAGGCAACGAUGCGUAGCCGACCUGGGAGGGUGGUCGGCCACACUGGAACUGAGACACGGUCAAGACUCCUACGGGAGGCAGCAGUAGGGAAUCUUCCGCAAUGGUCGAAAGCCUGACGGAGCAACGCCGAGUGAGUGAUGAAGGUCUUCGGAUCGUAAAACUCUGUUAUUAGGGAAGAACAAAUGUGUAAGUAACUAUGCACGUCUUGACGGUACCUAAUCAGAAAGCCACGGCUAACUACGUG
RNAcentral lists this ribosomal RNA (497 nucleotides) under uncultured bacterium. RNAcentral's name for it is "partial 16S ribosomal RNA". It matches the Rfam family "Bacterial small subunit ribosomal RNA", at positions 28 to 507 of the family's 1533-position model. The record is from RNAcentral.